CUGCUCAAUGAAUAAUUUUAAAUAGCUGCAGUAUAAAUAACUGUACAAAGGUAGCAUAAUAAUUUGUUUUUUAAUUAAAAACUAGAAUGAAUGAUUAAAUGAAAUAUAAACUAUAUCAAAUUUAUAAAAUAAAUUUAUUAUUUAAAUAAAAAAAUUUAAAUAACUUUUAAAGACGAGAAGACCCUAAAGAAUUUUAAUAAUAAAUUAAAAUAUAAAUUUAUAAAUUAUUAUAUUAAUUGGGGAAAUUUUAAAAUUUAAAAAAUUUUUAAUUAAAUAAACAUAAAUUUUUGAAUAUAUAAAAUUUUUUUAAAAAAUUAAAUUAAAUUACCUUAGGGAUAACAGCAUAAUUUUUUUAAAAAG
Molecule: ribosomal RNA, 360 nt
Filed under: Cotesia sp. Bundaberg
Lineage: Eukaryota; Metazoa; Arthropoda; Insecta; Hymenoptera; Braconidae
Also listed under: 1 other name
Description: partial 16S ribosomal RNA
Source: RNAcentral